RNAcentral lists this long non-coding RNA (528 nucleotides) under Oryza sativa Indica Group (long-grained rice). RNAcentral describes it as "lncRNA OsLiXu_Ung0017730". Lineage: Eukaryota; Viridiplantae; Streptophyta; Magnoliopsida; Poales; Poaceae. The record is from RNAcentral.
AUAUUUCUUUUUAACCCAAAAUACCCUGUAGCCACUAAAAAGCCGCCGGUUGGAACUUUACGCCUUCCAUGGGGACGUUCGCGGUUUACUAUCCCCGACGUCGGACCGUUGGUUGUAAAGCCCGGCAAAACCCAAACCCAAGGUCGAAGUGCUGCUCCUGGCACCCCACGCCUCGAUGCGUACAGUGGUCGGAGCUUCACUAUCCCCUCGACCUCCAUUGCACGCCGCACACCGCCGGUUGGAACUUUACGCCUUCCAUGGGGACGUUCGCGGUUUACUAUCCCCGACGUCGGACCGUUGGUUGUAAAGCCCGGCAAAACCCAAACCCAAGGUCGAAGUGCUGCUCCUGGCACCCCACGCCUCGAUGCGUACAGUGGUCGGAGCUUCACUAUCCCCUCGACCUCCAUUGCACGCCGCACAGUUAGCUCUCGGGCUCUGUGUGAUCCAAGCCGCUCCGCCGCCACUCACACUUGUCGGAGUAACACUUUCGCCCCACUAAACCCACACACAAACCUCCUAUCCCUCUAG